This 502-nucleotide ribosomal RNA is filed under the name uncultured eukaryote. RNAcentral describes it as "bacterial SSU rRNA". It matches the Rfam family "Eukaryotic small subunit ribosomal RNA", at positions 43 to 549 of the family's 1831-position model. The record is from RNAcentral.
AGAUAGCAUGCCGUCUAGGAUAAUAUUUUUACCAUAAACCUGCGAAAGGCUCAUUAAAUCAGUAAUAAUCUAUUCUAUUAUUUAAUUCUAUUUGGAUAACUGUAGUAAUUCUAGAGCUAAUACAUGCAAAAAACCUGAACUUUACAGAACGGGUGUACUUAUUAGACAUUAAAACCGAUUACAAUUUAUUGUAUACUUAAAAUGAAUUAAAAUAAGUUUAUGAAUCGCAGAUCAUUUUGUGAUGAUAAGAAUGAAUUUCUGCCCUAUCAACUUUCGAUGGCAAUGUAGGGGAUUACCAUGGUGAUGACGGGUAACGGGGAAUUAGGGUUUGAUUCCGGAGAAAAGGCCUGAGAGACGGCCAUUACUUCUAAGGAAGGCAGCAGGCGCGCAAAUUGCCCAAUGUGGAAAUCACGAGGCAGCGAACAUCAAUAACAAUGAGAGACUGAAUAACAGUUUUUCAAUUGGAAUGAGAUAUGAGAAGAGAAAAAAGCGAGAAUCAAGU